UACGGAGGAUGCAAGUGUUAUCCGGAAUCACUGGGCGUAAAGCGUCUGUAGGUGGUGUAAUAAGUCAACUGUUAAAUCUUGAGGCUCAACCUCAAAAUCGCAGUCGAAACUAUUAGGCUAGAGUAUAGUAGGGGUAAAGGGAAUUUCCAGUGGAGCGGUGAAAUGCGUAGAGAUUGGAAAGAACACCGAUGGCGAAGGCACUUUACUGGGCUAUUACUAACACUCAGAGACGAAAGCUAGGGUAGCAAAUGGG
This 253-nucleotide ribosomal RNA is filed under the name uncultured bacterium. Its description in RNAcentral is "partial 16S ribosomal RNA". It matches the Rfam family "Bacterial small subunit ribosomal RNA", at positions 524 to 776 of the family's 1533-position model. The record is from RNAcentral.